Molecule: long non-coding RNA, 949 nt
Organism: Pieris brassicae (large cabbage white)
Lineage: Eukaryota; Metazoa; Arthropoda; Insecta; Lepidoptera; Pieridae
Exons: 3
Source: RefSeq, a predicted model, not a curated record
GCUGAAUUCUACCAAAAACAAGGUUGUUUACAUGUGAUGUUCAAUUUCUUAGGAAACCUGGAGGAUGUAGAAGGAGUCGAUGCAAUAGUGAGAACUAUUGGUAAGCUCACUGAUUUAGAGCAGAAAGAUAGAAUAAAAUCCCACAACCAGUACAUUAAAGAAAUCACUUCCACUGGUGUGCGUAUAAUAUCAAUACACAGAAUAAAAAAAGAAGGGCCAACAAAUCAAGGUGUCUGGAGUACACCUGAAAAAAAACGAUCUCAAACCAACGGUGUCUUAUUUGGACAAUUUUGAAAUGGAUGCUAUUCGCAACAAUAUUAAUAAAUUUUAUAUUGUUAGAAAACAAAUUCCAACAUUGAGAACACUUUCGCUGGAAUUAAGAGAAAGUAUAGGAUUUACUGGAUGUCGGGAAACUCUUCGCCGAAUAUUAUUGGGUAAUGGCUAUGAAUUUAAGAAAAACAAAAAUGAACGUUCUUUGUUAAUUGAGCGCAAUGACAUAUCUGCCUGGAGACAUUACUAUUUAAGAUCUAUAUCGUUGCAACGUGCAGAAAGAAAGCCAAUAAUUUCUUUAGAUAAAAAAUGGCUGAUCACCAUGAUAUUAUAUGCCAACUUCAAUAAGUGGUUAGAAGAAAAGCUCCUACCCAAUUUAAAUGAGCAAAGGCCAUUAUAUGAAGCCGAUGAAAUUUUAAAGCACAAUGGUCAUGAGGUAUUGAGACUACCUCCAUACCAUUGUGAUCUAAAUGCCAUUGAGCUGGUAUGGAGUCUGGGAAAACGCAGAGUAGCUAAUAAAAAUAUUGAAUUGACUUCAUAAUAGUUAGAACAAGUGAUUAAAGAGUCAUUUGAAAAUUUAACAGCAGAAGAGUGGAAGAAAAUGACUGAUCAUGUUGUACAUGUGGAAAAUAAAUAUAAAGAAAGGGACAGGACGACAGAGGAACAAUUAGAAAGUUUC